Molecule: non-coding RNA, 583 nt
Organism: Vombatus ursinus (common wombat)
Lineage: Eukaryota; Metazoa; Chordata; Mammalia; Diprotodontia; Vombatidae
Source: the annotation of a RefSeq genome assembly
AACCUGUACCUGCACCUCCUCUGGGAGACAAGCCCAAGCUCUUUGUGUCCUUUCACGCAGAGGACUAACCUGGAAACUCACCAUGAAGUUUAGACUGAACUGGAUUUUCCUUUUGACUAUUUUCCAAGGUGUCCAGUGUGAUGUGCAGCUGGUGGAGUCUGGGGGAGAUGUGAGACAGCCUGGGGGCUCUCUGAGUCUCUCCUGCAAAGUUUCUGGAGUUACUAUCAGCGGUUACUACUUCGGUUGGGUCCGCCAGGCUCCAGGGAAGGGACUGGAAUGGGUUGCAAGCAUUUAUAGUACUAGUAGUAUAUACUAUGCAGACUCUGUGAAAGGUCGAUUCACCAUCUCCAGAGAUGAUGGCAACAACAUGAUAUCUCUACAGAUGACUUCCCUUAAGACUGAGGAUACAGCUGUGUAUUACUGUGCAAGAGACACAGUGAGGAAAAGGAAUGUGAGACCAGACAAAAACUUCCCCUACCAGGAAGUGAGACAUCAGUCAGGCAAGAGGGGGAUUGAGCUCAUGAUGCACAGAGUACAAGAUGCCUAGAUGCACUAACAGGUGUAGAGUGAAUCUGAACCGUUU